Molecule: ribosomal RNA, 287 nt
Filed under: uncultured bacterium
Lineage: Bacteria
Description: partial 16S ribosomal RNA
Rfam family: Bacterial small subunit ribosomal RNA
Source: RNAcentral
GUGGAUUAGAUACCCUGGUAGUCCACGCCGUAAACGGUGGGUGCUAGGUGUGGGGAACCUUCCACGUUCUCCGUGCCGCAGCUAACGCAUUAAGCACCCCGCCUGGGGAGUACGGCCGCAAGGCUAAAACUCAAAGGAAUUGACGGGGGCCCGCACAAGCGGCGGAGCAUGCGGCUUAAUUCGAUGCAACGCGAAGAACCUUACCUGGGCUUGACAUAUAGGGAAAUCUCAUAGAGAUAUGAGGUCCGCAAGGGCCCUAUACAGGUGGUGCACGGUUGUCGUCAACU